CAAGUCGAACGAGAAAGCUCACUUCGGUGAGUGAGUACAGUGGCAAACGGGUGAGUAACACGUGGGUAACAUGCCUCUAAGAUGGGGACAACAUCGGGAAACUGGUGCUAAUACCGAGUAAUAUUGAACUGGCAUAAGUCAGAUCAAUCAAACGAUGGGGAUCCUUCGGGACCUGUCGCUUAGAGAUUGGCCCGCGCCUGAUUAGCUUGUUGGUGAGGUAAAAGCUCACCAAGGCGAUGAUCAGUAGCCGACUUGAGAGGGUGACCGGCCACACUGGGAUUGAGAUACGGCCCAGACUCCUACGGGAGGCAGCAGUCUAGAAGCUUCGACAAUGGGGGCAACCCUGGUCGAGCGACGCCGCGUGCAGGAUGAAGGUUUUCGGAUCGUAAACUGCUUUCGUUCGGGAAGAAUACUUGUCGGUUAAUACCCGGCAUAGGAGACGGUACCGAGUAAAGAAGCUCCGGCUAAGUCCGUGCCAGCAGCCGCGGUAAUACGGGCGGAGCGAGCGUUGUUCGGAAUUAUUGGGUGUAAAGGGUGCGCAGGCGGUCGAAUAAGUCGAAGGUGAAAUCCCUACGGCUCAACCGAGGAAUUGCCUUCGAUACUAUUCGACUUGAGUGAGGGAGGGGAGCGUAGAAUUCCUGGUGUAGCGGUGAAAUGCGUAGAUAUCAGGAGGAAUACCUGUGGCGAAGGCGACGCUCUGGCCCUUAACUGACGCUCAUGCACGAAAGCCAGGGGAGCGAACGGGAUUAGAUACCCCGGUAGUCCUGGCCGUAAACGUUGGGCACUAGGUGUGGGAGGUAUCGACCCCUUCCGUGCCGUAGCUAACGCAUUAAGUGCCUCACCUGGGGAGUACGACCGCAAGGUUGAAACUCAAAGGAAUUGACGGGGGCCCGCACAAGCGGUGGAGUAUGCGGUUUAAUUCGAGGCAACGCGAAGAACCUUACCCGGGCUUGACAUCACCAUAAGGUACCAUACACGGCAGAGAUGUCGUGGUUAGGUAGACAGGUGUUGCAUGGCUGUCGUCAGCUCGUGUCGUGAGAUGUUGGGUUAAGUCCCGCAACGAGCGCAACCCCUAUCCACUGUUGCCAUCAGACCUUCGGGUGCUGGGAACUCUGUGGAAACUGCCGCCGACAA
RNAcentral lists this ribosomal RNA (1134 nucleotides) under uncultured organism. RNAcentral's name for it is "bacterial SSU rRNA". It matches the Rfam family "Bacterial small subunit ribosomal RNA", at positions 58 to 1161 of the family's 1533-position model. The record is from RNAcentral.